This 73-nucleotide transfer RNA is filed under the name Myxococcales bacterium. RNAcentral's name for it is "tRNA-Thr". Lineage: Bacteria; Pseudomonadati; Myxococcota; Myxococcia; Myxococcales. The record is from RNAcentral.
GCCGCGCGGGUCGUCGGAGAGACGACGCCUCCCUGGUACGGAGGAGAGACGGGUGCGACUCCCGUGUGCGGCU